UCUUCGUGACAUUACAUAGGUCAUUUGCUAUCAUAGCAAAAGGCUAUUUCGAAUUCUCGGUAGUGAAAGAAAGCACUGAACGAGAGAUUAAAGAAAUGCAAUUAAAGAAAUGCAAUAAGUAAAUUUGUAACAAGCAAUUUUCAAUGAUAUUGAGAUUAUACAACGAGAAAAUGACUCUUAAGGCUAACUUCGAUGAGAAAAAUUGAACUUUUCAUGAAUUUUUGAAUAAAAUUUAGUUCUGUUCUGUGUUGUCUUGUUUUUAAUAAUGUCUAACAGAUACCUUUUCAACCAAAAAUUUUUUCUACAAAGACAAAAAGCAUGUAGCGCACCAAAACUCAAUAGUGGUGUAUUUUUUAAGAAACCGUGCCCUUUUCUCCUUCGUCUUUUGCUUUGAUUGACUGAGUCCGCAGUUUACCACUUCAAAUAGACAUAAGCAUCGAAACAGGAAAAUUUUGUCCUCUGGCCCUCUGUUUACUUUGGAUUUGAUUGUAGACUGGAGCAAGAAAUUGCUGAGAGAAAAAUAUGGCUGAUUUUUACGUCGUGGCAUUCAAGGAUCUGCCAAGUAUUGAAUUCGAUAGGGUAGAUCCGGUGAGAGACAAUCUGCAAGAUUACCAAGACUACGACAUUAGACCUGCUGGGAAUGAUUUGAAGGUUGCUGUGAAAAUGGCCGAUGAACGCCGCAAAGCUGCUAUCGUGUACGACGUUAAAAGUCAAAGCAGUGCUUACGCAAAUGAAAAAUGUAAUCCAGACAAAGCAGAACAAUUGCAAGCAUUUGCUAAAAAGAGGCUCUGAUUUUGAAGCGUACUAACAGUGAACACAUUUGUAUUCGCAUUGGAAAAUGUUAAUGUCAUAGAGAUUGAUGUCAUUUUCUCAAA
Long non-coding RNA from Rhopilema esculentum, 875 nucleotides. RefSeq lists it as uncharacterized. Lineage: Eukaryota; Metazoa; Cnidaria; Scyphozoa; Rhizostomeae; Rhizostomatidae. The record is from RefSeq and is a predicted model, not a curated record.